GACUCUACGGAGGGGCAGCACUCCGGACGAGAGCACCGCCGUACCCGGUCACGACAAGACGGCGCGCC
This 68-nucleotide non-coding RNA is filed under the name Deinococcus hopiensis. Lineage: Bacteria; Thermotogati; Deinococcota; Deinococci; Deinococcales; Deinococcaceae. RNAcentral also lists the same sequence under 1 other name. The record is from RNAcentral.